AGAAUCAACGCUGGCGGCGUGCCUAACACAUGCAAGUCGAACGAGAAAGUGGAGCAAUCCAUGAGUAAAGUGGCGACCGGGUGAGUAACACGUGACUAACCUACCCUAGAGUGGGGAAUAACUUCGGGAAACCGAGGCUAAUACCGCAUAACAUCGCAGAGGGAAGCUCUUUGCGAUCAAAGGAGCAAUUCGCUCAAGGAGGGGGUCGCGGCUGAUUAGUUAGUUGGUGAGGUAACGGCUCACCAAGACAAAGAUCAGUAUCCGGCCUGAGAGGGCGCACGGACACACUGGAACUGAAACACGGUCCAGACUCCUACGGGAGGCAGCAGUGGGGAAUUUUGCGCAAUGGGGAAACCCUGACGCAGCAACGCCGCGUGGAGAUGAAGUCCCUUGGGAUGUAAACUCCUUUCGAUCGGGACGAUUAUGACGGUACCGGAAGAAGAAGCACCGGCUAACUCUGCGCCAGCAGCCGCGGUAA
Molecule: ribosomal RNA, 478 nt
Filed under: uncultured bacterium
Lineage: Bacteria
Description: SSU rRNA
Rfam family: Bacterial small subunit ribosomal RNA
Source: RNAcentral